UGUGCCAGCAGCCGCGGUAAUUCCAGCUCUAAUAGCAUACGUUAAAGUUGUUGCGGUUAAAACGCUCGUAGUCGGCUUCAGACCAUCAGAAGCCUGGCUCGUGAGCCCGGGUCCGCUGCCCCUUCCGGGGCGCGCUGGGUGAACGGCUGGGUGGGCGUUGGUCAAGUGUGCCUCUUGCUGUCCUUCGGGUCACAGGGGCCGGGCUUGCUCGGUCUCGGCGGGGGGUACCACUUACCAUGACUAAACUGGACUGAUCAAGUGAGGCCGUUCGGUCUUGCACAGCACAGCAUGGCAUAAAGAUAACUGGCUCCGGGAGUAGCGCCCUGGGGUUGGUAAAAGCGAAAGGGGUGUUCGAGGGUGACCGAAUUGCUAGGCGAGUGGUGAAAUACGUUGACCCCAGCAAGUCGACCAAAGGCGAAAGCAGUCAUCAAGGGCACGCCCGUUGAUCAAGAGCGAAAGUUAAGGGUUCGAAGACGAUCAGAUACCGUCGUAGUCUUAACUAUAAAUGAUACUGACCAGGGAUAGGACACUGUCCAUCUCGACUCCUUCUGAACCUUAGAGAAAUUACAGUCUUUGAGUUCUGGGGGGAGUAUGGUCGCAAGGCUGAAACUUAAAGGAAUUGACGGAAGGGCACACAAAGAGUGGAACCUGCGGCUUAAUUUGACUCAACACGGGGAAAACUCACCAGGUCCAGAUACACGUAUGAAAGACAAGCUGAAGACUUUUCUCAUGAUGUAAGUGGUGGUGCAUGGUCGUUCUUAGUUCGUGGAUUGAUGUGUCUGGUCUAUUCCGAUACGAGCGAGACCCCGGCGUUCCUAUAGGGGCGCAGCCCUGCUCGCCUGCUUCG
Molecule: ribosomal RNA, 847 nt
Filed under: uncultured fungus
Lineage: Eukaryota; Fungi
Description: bacterial SSU rRNA
Rfam family: Eukaryotic small subunit ribosomal RNA
Source: RNAcentral